RNAcentral lists this ribosomal RNA (117 nucleotides) under Sinocyclocheilus grahami. The record is from RNAcentral. Lineage: Eukaryota; Metazoa; Chordata; Actinopteri; Cypriniformes; Cyprinidae.
UAUUACAGCCAUAUCACCCUGCAGCCCAAGACUGGUUGCCCACUGAAGCUAAGCAGGGCUGAGCCUGGUCAGUACCUGCAUGGGAGACCUCCUGGGAAAACUAGGUUGCUGCUGGAA